Molecule: ribosomal RNA, 533 nt
Filed under: Pseudomonas sp. Z32
Lineage: Bacteria; Pseudomonadati; Pseudomonadota; Gammaproteobacteria; Pseudomonadales; Pseudomonadaceae
Description: bacterial SSU rRNA
Rfam family: Bacterial small subunit ribosomal RNA
Source: RNAcentral
UUAUCAAGAUGAGCCUAGGUCGGAUUAGCUUAGUUGGUGAGGUAAUGGCUCACCAAGGCGACGAUCCGUAACUGGUCUGAGAGGAUGAUCAGUCACACUGGAACUUGAGACACGGUCCAGACUCCUACGGGAGGCAGCAGUGGGGAAUAUUGGACAAUGGGCGAAAGCCUGAUCCAAGCCAUGCCGCGUGUGUGAAGAAGGUCUUCGGAUUGUAAAGCACUUUAAGUUGGGAGGAAGGGCAGUUACCUAAUACGUGAUUGUUUUGACGUUACCGACAGAAUAAGCACCGGCUAACUCUGUGCCAGCAGCCGCGGUAAUACAGAGGGUGCAAGCGUUAAUCGGAAUUACUGGGCGUAAAGCGCGCGUAGGUGGUUUGUUAAGUUGGAUGUGAAAUCCCCUGGGCUCAACCUGGGAACUGCAUUCAAAACUGACUGACUAGAGUAUGGUAGAGGGUGGUGGAAUUUCCUGUGUAGCGGUGAAAUGCGUAGAUAUAGGAAGGAACACCAGUGGCGAAGGCGACCACCUGGACUAAU